UACGUAGGGUGCGAGCGUUAAUCGGAUUUACUGGGCGUAAAGCGUGCGCAGGCGGUUUGUUAAGCGAGAUGUGAAAGCCCCGGGCUCAACCUGGGAACCGCAUUUCGAACUGGCAAACUAGAGUCUUGUAGAGGGGGGUAGAAUUCCAGGUGUAGCGGUGAAAUGCGUAGAGAUCUGGAGGAAUACCGGUGGCGAAGGCGGCCCCCUGGGCCUGUACUGACGCUCAUGCACGAAAGCGUGGGGAGCAAACAGG
RNAcentral lists this ribosomal RNA (253 nucleotides) under uncultured microorganism. Its description in RNAcentral is "partial 16S ribosomal RNA". It matches the Rfam family "Bacterial small subunit ribosomal RNA", at positions 524 to 776 of the family's 1533-position model. The record is from RNAcentral.